Molecule: ribosomal RNA, 491 nt
Filed under: uncultured bacterium
Lineage: Bacteria
Description: partial 16S ribosomal RNA
Rfam family: Bacterial small subunit ribosomal RNA
Source: RNAcentral
AGUGAACGCUGGCGGUAGGCCUAACACAUGCAAGUCGAACGGCAGCACAGUAAGAGCUUGCUCUUACGGGUGGCGAGUGGCGGACGGGUGAGGAAUACAUCGGAAUCUACUUUUUCGUGGGGGAUAACGUAGGGAAACUUACGCUAAUACCGCAUACGACCUACGGGUGAAAGCAGGGGAUCUUCGGACCUUGCGCGAUUGAAUGAGCCGAUGUCGGAUUAGCUAGUUGGCGGGGUAAAGGCCCACCAAGGCGACGAUCCGUAGCUGGCCUGAGAGGAUGAUCAGCCACACUGGAACUGAGACACGGUCCAGACUCCUACGGGAGGCAGCAGUGGGGAAUAUUGGACAAUGGGCGCAAGCCUGAUCCAGCCAUACCGCGUGGGUGAAGAAGGCCUUCGGGUUGUAAAGCCCUUUUGUUGGGAAGGAAAGCAGCAGGUUAAUACCCCGCUGUUCUGACGGUACCCAAAGAAUAAGCACCGGCUAACUUCGUG